UAUAAAUAGGACUUGGGAAACGACUUUUUAAAUUUGGAGGGUUAAGUUUGAAAAAUUAUUGCGUUUCAACAUUUCACUUCCAUUAUUUUUUUUUUCCCACAGCAGGAUUCCAGGACACAUUUACGACCGUCAUAAUUGGAGAGACAGCCCUGCCCCUCCAAGGCCACCCUGCAGGCUUUGUCUACCAGGCACUUCCUCCUCUCUCCCAGGAAGCACGUGUGACUCUAACACUCCCUUGCGCUCCCACGUUGCCUCUUGGAGAUUCUGGGGGAGAAGGCGGUUUUGACUUCUGUGAUUCGAAGAUGCUCUCCCAAACAGCAGAAGGAUGUUGCUUGGCUGGCAGUGGGCACACAUGCUGGCCACUGCCCAGAUCCCCUGGCUGUAGGGUGCCAGGGCUGGGAGAGUCCUCCCACACCCCUGAGCACCACGGCAUUCAUGGGGAGACUGAGGCACAGACAGGCUGUGCAUUCCCAGCUUGCUCUGCUUGCUCCUGGACCAAGUAUCCAACCUGGAAAGUCCUCCCAGUGGAAAUAGGCAUUCUCUCAGCCUCCCAGCGCAGGGAGAAAUAGGAAAGGGCCCUUCUUAGAGGCAGCACAGUGCUUGGCACAUGGAAAGCACCUGGUUAACUUUGCUAAAGAAAAAUGAUUCUCCAAAGCCCCUUAGCGAGGGCCCUCCCACUCAACCUCUCCUUUCCUCAGAAGCCUGGCCUCCACUAGAGGCCAUUCUCUCUGGAGCAGGAUGCUGCUUUGUCCUCAGAGCUGUGCUUCCCAGGUGAGUACCACUCCCCUCCACUGGAUACAGACAAAGAGUCUGCAUCCUCACAGCCUAGCAUGGUGCCUGGCCCCGUCGGACUCCCAACAAAACAUGUGUUCCCUCCCUUCCAGUGGGAAAGAGCCUCUUUUUCCUUCUGGAAGCAGACUACCUGGAAAUGAAUUUAAGUUUUUGAAAACUGCU
RNAcentral lists this long non-coding RNA (954 nucleotides) under Bos indicus x Bos taurus (hybrid cattle). RNAcentral's name for it is "lncRNA (ENSBIXG00005027796.1)". The record is from RNAcentral. Lineage: Eukaryota; Metazoa; Chordata; Mammalia; Artiodactyla; Bovidae.